RNAcentral lists this non-coding RNA (249 nucleotides) under Pontibacillus chungwhensis. RNAcentral describes it as "T-box sequence". It matches the Rfam family "T-box leader". From Rfam's summary of the family: Uncharged tRNA acts as the effector for transcription antitermination of genes in the T-box leader family. T-boxes are found upstream of many aminoacyl-tRNA synthetase genes and some amino acid biosynthetic genes usually in Gram-positive bacteria. Lineage: Bacteria; Bacillati; Bacillota; Bacilli; Caryophanales; Bacillaceae. The record is from RNAcentral.
AAUAAAGCUAUGAAGAGAAGAGUAGGCCAAAUUGUUUCUUACAGAGAGCUCUCGGUUGGUGGAAAGAGGGUAGAAGCGUUUGACUGAAGCAAGCCUCUGAGCUGCACAUGGGAACAAGUUGUGGGAUCAUGUGCCAGGAGCUCCUGUUACAGAGCUAGGGUAUAAGCAUAUACUGCCGUACCUGAGAAGGUUAAUAUGGUGACAUAUUAAUAAACUGGGGUGGCACCGCGGAAAUGACCCGCCCCCAAG